This 77-nucleotide transfer RNA is filed under the name Candidatus Avidehalobacter gallistercoris. RNAcentral's name for it is "tRNA-Ile". It matches the Rfam family "tRNA". From Rfam's summary of the family: Transfer RNA (tRNA) molecules are approximately 80 nucleotides in length. Their secondary structure includes four short double-helical elements and three loops (D, anti-codon, and T loops). Further hydrogen bonds mediate the characteristic L-shaped molecular structure. tRNAs have two regions of fundamental functional importance: the anti-codon, which is responsible for specific mRNA codon recognition, and the 3' end, to which the tRNAs corresponding amino acid is attached (by aminoacyl-tRNA synthetases). tRNAs cope with the degeneracy of the genetic code in two manners: having more than one tRNA (with a specific anti-codon) for a particular amino acid; and 'wobble' base-pairing, i.e. permitting non-standard base-pairing at the 3rd anti-codon position. The record is from RNAcentral. Lineage: Bacteria; Bacillati; Bacillota; Clostridia; Eubacteriales; Peptococcaceae.
GGGCCAUUAGCUCAGUUGGUUAGAGCCACCGGCUCAUAACCGGUCGGUCUCAGGUUCGAGUCCUGAAUGGCCCACCA